AUGCGUGCUGAGGCGGACAGAGUGGAGGGCGCAGCGCUUGAGACGGAGCCGCGGCGCGGUCGCGAGCUCGACCCCGUCGAGGAGGCCGUGGCGCAGAAGGCGAAGAGGCGCGGGGCCGGACGCGGCCGGGCCCGCGGAGACGGCCUGGAGCCGGCGCGCUCAGAGCCGGCCGGCGAGCAGCAGGCGGACGAGGCGCGAGGGCGGCCGGGUUCGCGGAGGAGGCGGAGGCCGGACCGCGGAUGCGAGUGGGCUUGCACGGCGGAGCUCGAGGACAACGAGUACGCCGCGGGAUGCUCCAGCAAACGGCGCCGGACACGGCGCCGCAGGCAGAGGAGGCGAGGCCUCCCGCUGCCAGUGGCGAAGCAGCCAGGUGCGGGCGAGGCCGCGCGCGGGGAGCCGCGGACGACCGGAGGUGCUCGAAGCAAAGCACAAGACAAACCAUGGUCCGGGCAAUGUGCGAGGAAUGUCUGA
This 471-nucleotide ribosomal RNA is filed under the name Triticum aestivum (bread wheat). RNAcentral describes it as "partial small subunit ribosomal RNA". Lineage: Eukaryota; Viridiplantae; Streptophyta; Magnoliopsida; Poales; Poaceae. The record is from RNAcentral.